RNAcentral lists this ribosomal RNA (301 nucleotides) under uncultured bacterium. RNAcentral's name for it is "partial 16S ribosomal RNA". It matches the Rfam family "Bacterial small subunit ribosomal RNA", at positions 509 to 809 of the family's 1533-position model. The record is from RNAcentral.
CAGCCGCCACGGUAAUACAGAGGUCCCGAGCGUUGUUCGGAUUCACUGGGCGUAAAGCGCGCGUAGGUGGUUCAUUAAGUUGGAUGUGAAAGCCCUGGGCUCAACCUGGGAACUGCAUCCAAAACUGGUGAGCUAGAGUACGGUAGAGGGUUGUGGAAUUUCCUGUGUAGCGGUGAAAUGCGUAGAUAUAGGAAGGAACACCAGUGGCGAAGGCGACCACCUGGACUGAUACUGACACUGAGGUGCGAAAGCGUGGGGAGCAAACAGGAUUAGAUACCCCCGUAGUCCCUGUCUCUUAUAA